AACCUGGGGAAGCGAUAGAAUCACUCUUCUCACCUUAUAUAGAAGCCUUAUCAGAUCAACCAUAGAUUACGGAUGUUUCAUCUACCAGAGUGCAGCGGAUUUUCAUUUGAGAAAAUUAGACUCUAUUCACACUUCAUCACUUCGCAUAGUUCUGGGGGCAUUUAGAACAAGCCCCUCUCUGUCCAUUUGCGCAGAAGCAGGGGAACCACCUCUCUAUUGGAGACGCCAAAGACUACUUGCAGGCUAUAUCGCCAAGGUUAUGAGUCUCCCUAAUCAUCCCACUUAUUCUUCUCUUUUUUCCAAACAACUAGAGGAUACGGCCACUGUUAAAACUAUUUCAAAAUGUGUCACUACAAUGCUUGAUGAUUUCAAGUCAAAACAUAACAUUAAACAGUUGCUAACAACUAGAUGUGAAAUUCCUCCUUUUCCACCCUGGUUUCAGACUAUGAUCAAUAUAGACACCUCUUUAAGCUCUGUCAAGAAAAAUGAUAUUAGUGUCCAACAGCAACAAACUAGUUUUUCCAAUUUCCUAGAAAAGUAUGAUGGUUAUAGGCGGCUAUACACGGAUGGAUCAAAGACAGAAAAUGGUGCUGGCUGUGCUUUUGUUGAACUUGAAGAAAAUAUGUCCUUUUUACAAAUUCUCUCUCCUUUGUCUUCUGUUCUUACAACAGAACUCUAUGCAAUUCUGGAAGCCGUCAAGUACACUAAAACGAUAACUUUCUCGCAACCUCAAAAUUUUUUGCUAAUGUCCGACUCCCUCUCUGGUCUUACAGCCAUAGAAAAUCAAGGAGAUAACCCUCUUCUCUUUGACAUUUCUGCUCAACUUCAAAAUUCACCACAUAACAUCAUUAUGGCUUGGAUCCCGGGUCAUUCGGGAAUCAUCGGUAAUGAAACAGCGGAUAUUAUUGCCAAAUCUUGUUGUAAUCCAAAUAGUCCCCCUCUACACACACAUUUCGUUCCUCCACAAGAUUUGAAAAAAGCGCUCCAAUCUCACAUCAAUGAUUCCUGGGAAGACUACUGGAUGAACAACGACAAAAACUUACUUCAAAGAAG
RNAcentral lists this long non-coding RNA (1053 nucleotides) under Bemisia tabaci. RNAcentral's name for it is "lncRNA ENSSSA3NGG014072". The record is from RNAcentral. Lineage: Eukaryota; Metazoa; Arthropoda; Insecta; Hemiptera; Aleyrodidae.